Molecule: non-coding RNA, 244 nt
Organism: Gorilla gorilla gorilla (western lowland gorilla)
Lineage: Eukaryota; Metazoa; Chordata; Mammalia; Primates; Hominidae
Source: Rfam
GCUGGGUGCAGUGGCGUGUGCCUGUAAUCCCAGCUACUCGGGAGGCUGAGGCGGGAGAAUGGCGUGAACCUGGGAGGCAGACCUUGCAGUGAGCCGAGAUCGUGCCACUGCACUCCAGCCUGGGCGACAGAGCGAGACUCCGUCUCAAAAGGUCUCGCUCUGUCGCCCAGGCUGGAGUGCAGUGGUGCGAUCUCAGCUCACUGCAGCCUUCACCGCCUGGGUUCAAGCCAUUCUCCCGCCUCAG